This 978-nucleotide ribosomal RNA is filed under the name Cortinarius entheosus. RNAcentral's name for it is "partial 28S ribosomal RNA". It matches the Rfam family "Eukaryotic large subunit ribosomal RNA", at positions 1 to 964 of the family's 3401-position model. The record is from RNAcentral. Lineage: Eukaryota; Fungi; Basidiomycota; Agaricomycetes; Agaricales; Cortinariaceae.
GUGACCUCAAAUCAGGUAGGACUACCCGCUGAACUUAAGCAUAUCAAUAAGCGGAGGAAAAGAAACUAACAAGGAUUCCCCUAGUAACUGCGAGUGAAGCGGGAAAAGCUCAAAUUUAAAAUCUGGCAGUCUUUGGCUGUCCGAGUUGUAAUCUAGAGAAGUGUUAUCCGCGCUGGACCGUGUACAAGUCUCCUGGAAUGGAGCGUCAUAGAGGGUGAGAAUCCCGUCUUUGACACGGACUGCCAGGGCUUUGUGAUGCGCUCUCAAAGAGUCGAGUUGUUUGGGAAUGCAGCUCAAAAUGGGUGGUAAAUUCCAUCUAAAGCUAAAUAUUGGCGAGAGACCGAUAGCGAACAAGUACCGUGAGGGAAAGAUGAAAAGAACUUUGGAAAGAGAGUUAAACAGUACGUGAAAUUGCUGAAAGGGAAACGCUUGAAGUCAGUCGCGUUGGCCAGGGAUCAACCUUGCUUUUGCUUGGUGUACUUUCUGGUUGACGGGUCAACAUCAAUUUUGACUAUUGGAAAAAGAUUAAGGGAAUGUGGCAUCUUCGGAUGUGUUAUAGCCCUUGGUUGCAUACAAUGGUUGGGAUUGAGGAACUCAGCACGCCGCAAGGCCGGGUUUUUAACCACGUACGUGCUUAGGAUGUUGGCAUAAUGGCUUUAAUCGACCCGUCUUGAAACACGGACCAAGGAGUCUAACAUACCUGCGAGUGUUUGGGUGGAAAACCCGAGCGCGUAAUGAAAGUGAAAGUUGAGAUCCCUGUCGUGGGGAGCAUCGACGCCCGGACCAGACCUUUUGUGACGGUUCCGCGGUAGAGCAUGUAUGUUGGGACCCGAAAGAUGGUGAACUAUGCCUGAAUAGGGUGAAGCCAGAGGAAACUCUGGUGGAGGCUCGUAGCGAUUCUGACGUGCAAAUCGAUCGUCAAAUUUGGGUAUAGGGGCGAAAGACUAAUCGAACCAUCUAGUAGCUGGUUCCUGCCGA